RNAcentral lists this ribosomal RNA (2906 nucleotides) under Klebsiella oxytoca. Its description in RNAcentral is "23S ribosomal RNA". It matches the Rfam family "Bacterial large subunit ribosomal RNA". Lineage: Bacteria; Pseudomonadati; Pseudomonadota; Gammaproteobacteria; Enterobacterales; Enterobacteriaceae. The record is from RNAcentral.
GGUUAAGCGACUAAGCGUACACGGUGGAUGCCCUGGCAGUCAGAGGCGAUGAAGGACGUGCUAAUCUGCGAAAAGCGUCGGUAAGGUGAUAUGAACCGUUACAGCCGGCGAUGUCCGAAUGGGGAAACCCAGUGCAAUUCGUUGCACUAUCGUUAACUGAAUACAUAGGUUAACGAGGCGAACCGGGGGAACUGAAACAUCUAAGUACCCCGAGGAAAAGAAAUCAACCGAGAUUCCCCCAGUAGCGGCGAGCGAACGGGGAGCAGCCCGGAGUCUGAAUCAGUUUGUGUGUUAGUGGAAGCGUCUGGAAAGUCGCAGGGUACAGGGUGAUACUCCCGUACACUAAAACACACAGGCUGUGAACUCGAAGAGUAGGGCGGGACACGUGGUAUCCUGUCUGAAUAUGGGGGGACCAUCCUCCAAGGCUAAAUACUCCUGACUGACCGAUAGUGAACCAGUACCGUGAGGGAAAGGCGAAAAGAACCCCGGCGAGGGGAGUGAAAAAGAACCUGAAACCGUGUACGUACAAGCAGUAGGAGCCCACUAGUUGGGUGACUGCGUACCUUUUGUAUAAUGGGUCAGCGACUUAUAUUCUGUAGCAAGGUUAACCGUAUAGGGGAGCCGCAGGGAAACCGAGUCUUAACUGGGCGUUAAGUUGCAGGGUAUAGACCCGAAACCCGGUGAUCUAGCCAUGGGCAGGUUGAAGGUUGGGUAACACUAACUGGAGGACCGAACCGACUAAUGUUGAAAAAUUAGCGGAUGACUUGUGGCUGGGGGUGAAAGGCCAAUCAAACCGGGAGAUAGCUGGUUCUCCCCGAAAGCUAUUUAGGUAGCGCCUCGUGAAUUCAUCUUCGGGGGUAGAGCACUGUUUCGGCUAGGGGGUCAUCCCGACUUACCAACCCGAUGCAAACUACGAAUACCGAAGAAUGUUAUCACGGGAGACACACGGCGGGUGCUAACGUCCGUCGUGAAGAGGGAAACAACCCAGACCGCCAGCUAAGGUCCCAAAGUCAUGGUUAAGUGGGAAACGAUGUGGGAAGGCCCAGACAGCCAGGAUGUUGGCUUAGAAGCAGCCAUCAUUUAAAGAAAGCGUAAUAGCUCACUGGUCGAGUCGGCCUGCGCGGAAGAUGUAACGGGGCUAAACCAUGCACCGAAGCUGCGGCAGCGACACUAUGUGUUGUUGGGUAGGGGAGCGUUCUGUAAGCCGUUGAAGGUGGCCUGUGAGGGUUGCUGGAGGUAUCAGAAGUGCGAAUGCUGACAUAAGUAACGAUAAUGCGGGUGAAAAACCCGCACGCCGGAAGACCAAGGGUUCCUGUCCAACGUUAAUCGGGGCAGGGUGAGUCGACCCCUAAGGCGAGGCCGAAAGGCGUAGUCGAUGGGAAACAGGUUAAUAUUCCUGUACUUGGUGUUACUGCGAAGGGGGGACGGAGAAGGCUAUGUUGGCCGGGCGACGGUUGUCCCGGUUUAAGCAUGUAGGCGGAUGUUCCAGGUAAAUCCGGAACGUUACUAACGCUGAGGUGUGAUGACGAGGCACUACGGUGCUGAAGUGACAAAUGCCCUGCUUCCAGGAAAAGCCUCUAAGCAUCAGGUAACAUCAAAUCGUACCCCAAACCGACACAGGUGGUCAGGUAGAGAAUACCAAGGCGCUUGAGAGAACUCGGGUGAAGGAACUAGGCAAAAUGGUGCCGUAACUUCGGGAGAAGGCACGCUGAUGGUAGGUGAAGUGACUUGCUCACGGAGCUGAAAUCAGUCGAAGAUACCAGCUGGCUGCAACUGUUUAUUAAAAACACAGCACUGUGCAAACACGAAAGUGGACGUAUACGGUGUGACGCCUGCCCGGUGCCGGAAGGUUAAUUGAUGGGGUUAUCCUCGCGGAGAAGCUCUUGAUCGAAGCCCCGGUAAACGGCGGCCGUAACUAUAACGGUCCUAAGGUAGCGAAAUUCCUUGUCGGGUAAGUUCCGACCUGCACGAAUGGCGUAAUGAUGGCCAGGCUGUCUCCACCCGAGACUCAGUGAAAUUGAACUCGCUGUGAAGAUGCAGUGUACCCGCGGCAAGACGGAAAGACCCCGUGAACCUUUACUAUAGCUUGACACUGAACACUGGUCCUUGAUGUGUAGGAUAGGUGGGAGGCUUUGAAGUGUGGACGCCAGUCUGCAUGGAGCCAUCCUUGAAAUACCACCCUUUAAUGGCUGGUGUUCUAACGUGGGCCCCUGAUCGGGGUUGCGGACAGUGUCUGGUGGGUAGUUUGACUGGGGCGGUCUCCUCCUAAAGAGUAACGGAGGAGCACGAAGGUCAGCUAAUCCUGGUCGGACAUCAGGAGGUUAGUGCAAUGGCAUAAGCUGGCUUGACUGCGAGCGUGACGGCGCGAGCAGGUGCGAAAGCAGGUCAUAGUGAUCCGGUGGUUCUGAAUGGAAGGGCCAUCGCUCAACGGAUAAAAGGUACUCCGGGGAUAACAGGCUGAUACCGCCCAAGAGUUCAUAUCGACGGCGGUGUUUGGCACCUCGAUGUCGGCUCAUCACAUCCUGGGGCUGAAGUAGGUCCCAAGGGUAUGGCUGUUCGCCAUUUAAAGUGGUACGCGAGCUGGGUUUAGAACGUCGUGAGACAGUUCGGUCCCUAUCUGCCGUGGGCGCUGGAGAAUUGAGGGGGGCUGCUCCUAGUACGAGAGGACCGGAGUGGACGCAUCACUGGUGUUCGGGUUGUCAUGCCAAUGGCAUUGCCCGGUAGCUAAAUGCGGAAGAGAUAAGUGCUGAAAGCAUCUAAGCACGAAACUUGCCCCGAGAUGAGUUCUCCCUGACUCCUUGAGAGUCCUGAAGGAACGUUGAAGACGACGACGUUGAUAGGCCGGGUGUGUAAGCGCAGCGAUGCGUUGAGCUAACCGGUACUAAUGAACCGUGAGGCUUAACCUU